Molecule: non-coding RNA, 106 nt
Organism: Gossypium raimondii (Peruvian cotton)
Lineage: Eukaryota; Viridiplantae; Streptophyta; Magnoliopsida; Malvales; Malvaceae
Source: Rfam
AAUCCGUGAUGUGGACAUUUCUGAAUCAGCGUCUUAAAAUGCUCCCAAGCUUCGUGAAAACUCUCUCCCUCUAACUGUUUGAACAUAGCAAUCUCCUUUCUUAGCU